GUACUGAUGAAGAGUCCCAAACUAGGGCGAAACAGCUGGCUGUCCAGUAC
This 50-nucleotide non-coding RNA is filed under the name Trichobilharzia regenti. Lineage: Eukaryota; Metazoa; Platyhelminthes; Trematoda; Strigeidida; Schistosomatidae. The record is from RNAcentral.